RNAcentral lists this ribosomal RNA (253 nucleotides) under uncultured bacterium. Its description in RNAcentral is "partial 16S ribosomal RNA". It matches the Rfam family "Bacterial small subunit ribosomal RNA", at positions 524 to 776 of the family's 1533-position model. The record is from RNAcentral.
UACGUAGGUUGCUAGCGUUGUUCGGAAUCAUUGGGCGUAAAGCGCGUGUAGGUCGUUAGUUAAGUCGGGUGUGAAAUCCCUGGGCUCAACCGAGGAAGUGCAUCCGAAACUAACUAGCUAGAGAAUGGUAGAGGAAGGUGGAAUUCCAAGUGUAGAGGUGAAAUUCGUAGAUAUUUGGAGGAAUACCGGCGGCGAAGGCGGCCUUCUGGACCAUUUCUGACACUGAGACGCGAAAGCGUGGGGAGCAAACAGG